RNAcentral lists this ribosomal RNA (274 nucleotides) under uncultured bacterium. Its description in RNAcentral is "partial 16S ribosomal RNA". It matches the Rfam family "Bacterial small subunit ribosomal RNA", at positions 523 to 796 of the family's 1533-position model. The record is from RNAcentral.
AAACGUAGGACACAAGCGUUAUCCGGAAUCAUUGGGUUUAAAGGGUCCGUAGGCGGGUUUGUAAGUCAGUGGUGAAAGUUUUCGGCUCAACCGGAAAAUUGCCAUUGAUACUGCAAGUCUUGAAUCAUUAUGAAGUGGUUAGAAUGUGUAGUGUAGCGGUGAAAUGCAUAGAUAUUACACAGAAUACCGAUUGCGAAGGCAGAUCACUAAUAAUGUAUUGACGCUAAGGGACGAAAGCGUGGGUAGCGAACAGGAUUAGAAACCCUAGUAGUCC